This 430-nucleotide ribosomal RNA is filed under the name Pseudomonadota bacterium. Its description in RNAcentral is "Proteobacteria bacterium partial 16S ribosomal RNA". It matches the Rfam family "Bacterial small subunit ribosomal RNA", at positions 355 to 776 of the family's 1533-position model. The record is from RNAcentral. Lineage: Bacteria; Pseudomonadati; Pseudomonadota.
UGGGGAAUAUUGGACAAUGGGGGGAACCCUGAUCCAGCCAUGCCGCGUGUGUGAAGAAGGCCUUAUGGUUGUAAAGCACUUUAAGCGAGGAGGAGGGUACUGGUAUUAAUACUACCAGCUACUGGACGUUACUCGCAGAAUAAGCACCGGCUAACUCUGUGCCAGCAGCCGCGGUAAUACAGAGGGUGCGAGCGUUAAUCGGAUGUACUGGGCGUAAAGCGUGCGUAGGCGGCUAAUUGAGUCGGAUGUGAAAUCCCCGAGCUUAACUUUGGAAUUGCAUUCGAUACUGGUUAGCUAGAGUGUGGGAGAGGAUGGUAGAAUUCCAGGUGUAGCGGUGAAAUGCGUAGAGAUCUGGAGGAAUACCGAUGGCGAAGGCAGCCAUCUGGCCUAACACUGACGCUGAGGUACGAAAGCAUGGGGAGCAAACAGG